CUGGUAGGUAAAUGCUGGCGAGUGUUGACAGGGCCCCAAACCGCAGCACGGACCCAACAGUGUGUAGCCUCAGAUGCGUUUCCAGGAAAUAUGAAAGAUGGAAAUAAAAUUCACUAAGUGUGCAACUCAAUACACUAGUAACAGAUAGCAAAGGAAACACGGAAAGUGUAGAAGGAAGAAAUAAGAAAUGAUGGAAACAGAGGUAAUGAAAUCGAAAAGACAGACAAGCUUUGAUCAAUAAAACGGGGUCUUUGUUCGGAGUUGUGGUGGGGAACCUGAAUAGGAUGGUCUCCGAAGAUGAGGUUGGAAAGUCACUUAGAUUCCACCUCUAAAGUAGGACCGCAGGCCUUUCGGAUUUGCGAGUACUUUCUGCCAGAUGGUGGACAAAGACGGAAGUUCCCUAAAUAAUGGUGCUCGUCCAGGGCCACCUUGACCCACCAGGACUCGGUCUGAGAAGGUAGCAGAUGGCAGGGGCCUGACUGACAAGAAGCGGCUUAACCACGUGUGUGGUUGUAUUGAGCACACUUUUCAUUUUCUGUGAUUUACGAUGUUCCGGCAUCUUACAAACUCUUUCUGGCUUGGGAGGCUGGCCCCCCUGGGCCAGCGGUUCUCAGGGCAGGCGCAGGUCCCAGUGGAGUCCUGCCUUUGAUGUGCCUGCCGGCCAGCCCAGAGCCAGCCUGUGUGGACCAAGGAGGCAGUGCCUGAACCUCAUCAGCCCAGGGCCAGGUACCAGGCAGCUGGGGACAGCCCAGAGUUUCGAACCUGCUGAGUUCGAAAGAGUUUCAAGGUAGCCAAUUUUGAGCUGAUUAGCCUGCCCUGUGAGUGCUAACCUGUGCCCUGUGGAAAUCCCAGAGAAGACUCCUGCCUGGGCUCCCCCCACCUGACCACCUGGUGCCUCCCCGUCUCUGGGCCCUAUUGGUACAAUCACCUUUGUUUCCCGAGCCUCUCCUGCAUCUCCUCUUGUGGCACACCGACUGGCAUCCCGUUGAAGAACACGACCAGUGGCUGGGGCAGUGACCCAGGGAUGUCAUGAGGGGACCUGCUUCAUGACCUCCUUCCUUGAACUUGCCCGGCUGCUCAUCUUGGAGCAUUUCACCCGCGUGAAAGCAGGGGGGCUUCUCCCUGUGACUCUUGGCCAGACUCGUCUCAAGGACCCACCUGUAGCCGCAGGACAGGCUGGGAAUCAAUGUUCCAGAGGAGAAACACGGGACAGAGGAGAGGGAAUGAGCAGCCCCAGGAACACUGCAUCUUCUGGGAAGGCCCAAAGCCAACGUAGCCAGAUGGUGUUCUUCUCUGCCCUUUGUCACGUCUGGACUGCUUGUGUGGGGUGACCAGCCGGCCCAGACACGUCCCCAGUGACGGUCAAGAAAUCGGGUUUCCAGUUCCUUGGGACCUGGGUGCUGCUCCCUACGGCUUCCCGUCCCUCCCCCAGAAGUGAGCACAGAUCGCAGACCACGGAGGACACGGGGAGAGCGUGCCGUCCACUCGCCCAGCAGAGGCCCCGCAGGGAGGCCUGCAUCUCGGGCUUCAGCCCCUGGGACGGUGAGGAGUAAACUCACGUUUCUAGAGCCGCCUGGUUUGUGGUAUUUUUUUCGCGGCCCCUGAAGACUCAGUCAGGGGCUGGGUGGGGGGCAGGGCAGGCCCGCCUCACCUCUGCCUUGCAGGGACCCUGGGGACAAGCCACCACCUCUCUGGUUUUCCUCCUUCGGCCCGACGACGGGACAAGUGCCCCGGGAAAGACCCGUAGCUGGUCUCUUCAAGAGCAGUGGGGUCCCGUCCAGUGGUCUGGAGGCCCCGUCACUGGCUGGCCCCUGCCCCUCUGUGGCCCGUGACUUCAUGGGACACGUACCGAGCCACACAGGCCAACAGAUCAGCAAAACUAUAGAAGAUUUGAACAGUAGCAUCUGUCAUCGUCACCUCAUUGGUAUCCUCAGAGCUGCGAACGUGGAAACGGACACUCAGAAGGGCAUGUGGCACCUUCCAGAACAUGGACUCCCUACCUGAACGUAAAAACAAGCUCAAUAAAAUUCAAAAGUUUACAAUCAUACUUAGUGCACUCCUUUCCUCUGAUGAAAUUAUACCAGAAACCAGUAAGAGAUCUAGAAACCCCCCAAGAUAUUUGGACAUUAAACAAAACUCUUUUAAAGAAUCCAUGGGUCAGAGAAAAAAAAUCCCUGGGUAAUUCUUAGGAAAUGUCUCAUCCUAACAAAAACACAUUGGCGUUUGUGCGGCACCCCAGAACAGCGUUGAGUGAGCAUUCGUAGCCUUGAGCGCUUACAUCAGAAAGGAAGCACAAUUUGAAAUUAUUGAUAUGUUCUGGGGUGCCUGGGUGGCUCAGUCGGUUGAACGUCUGACUUCGGCUCAGGUCAUGAUCUCAUGGUCCAUGAGUUUGAGCCCUGUGUCGGGCUCUGUGCUGACAGCUCAGAGCCUGGAGCCUGGAGCCUGCGUCAGAUUCUGUGUCUCCCUCUCUCUCUCUGCACCUCCCCUGCUCAUGCUCUUUCAAUAAUAAAUAAAUGUUAACAAAUUAUCGAUAUGUUCCAUCUGAAGAUGCUAGGGAAAAAGGCAAAUUAAACCCAAAAAUAAGGUGAAGGAAGGAAAUACUAAAGACAAGAAUGGGAAUCAGGGUAACAGAAAGCACAUGGCUGGUAGAUGAAUCCGGAGAACCAAGACCUAGCCAUCAGAAGAAAUCAGUAAAAUUUGCAAAAUCCUAGCGAGGCCGAUAGAGAAGGAAAGAAGGAAUCUACAAAUUAUUGGUGUCAAGGAGAGAGGGGCCAUCACAGUAAAUCCUAUAGACGUUAGAAGGGUAAUAAAGAAAUAUUAGGAGCAAAUUUAUGCCAGUAAGUUUGACAACUUAGAUCCAAGAACAAAUUCUUUGAAACACUAGGCACAAGAAGUAACAGUAGAUCUGAAUAGGUCUGUAGCUGCUCAAGAAAUUGAAUAUAUUUUUUUAAGUUUGUUUGUUUGUUUAUGUAAGUAAUCUCUACACCCAACGUGGGGUUUGAACUCAUGUCCCUGAGAUUGAGAGUCACAUUCUUCUCUGGCGAGGCCAGCCAGGCACCCCGAAACUGAAUUAUUUUUUUACUUGAUGUUUAUGCAUUUAUUUAUUUUGAGAGAGAGAG
Acinonyx jubatus (cheetah) is the source of this 3119-nucleotide long non-coding RNA. RefSeq lists it as uncharacterized. NCBI's taxonomy places the organism in Eukaryota, Metazoa, Chordata, Mammalia, Carnivora, Felidae. The record is from RefSeq and is a predicted model, not a curated record. The transcript is spliced from 5 exons.